CUUGGUCAUUUAGAGGAAGUAAAAGUCGUAACAAGGUCUCCGUUGGUGAACCAGCGGAGGGAUCAUUAAAGAGUUAAAAACAACUCCUAAACCCAUGUGAAACCUACCUUUGUUGCCUCGGCAGGUCUGCAACUUACCCUGAGGGUACCUACCCUGUAGGUACCUUACCCGGUAGUUGCCGGCAUAACCUGCCGGUGGUCUACUAAACUCUGUUUACUAUGUCAUUCUGAAUAAUAUAACUAAAUAAGUUAAAACUUUCAACAACGGAUCUCUUGGUUCUGGCAUCGAUGAAGAACGCAGCGAAAUGCGAUAAGUAAUGUGAAUUGCAGAAUUCAGUGAAUCAUCGAAUCUUUGAACGCACAUUGCGCCCAUUAGUAUUCUAGUGGGCAUGCCUGUUCGAGCGUCAUUUCAACCCUUAAGCCCUGUUGCUUAGCGUUGGGAGCCUACAGAUACCCUCUGUAGUUCCUUAAAGUUAGUGGCGGAGUCGGUUUCACACUCUAGACGUAGUAAAUUUUAUCUCGCCUAUAGAUGAGCCGGUCCCUUGCCGUAAAACCCCCUAAUUUCUAAAGGUUGACCUCGGAUCAGGUAGGAAUACCCGCUGAACUUAAGCAUAUCAAUAAGCGGAGGA
RNAcentral lists this ribosomal RNA (628 nucleotides) under fungal endophyte sp. g94. RNAcentral describes it as "eukaryotic LSU rRNA". The stretch from base 253 to 406 matches the Rfam family "5.8S ribosomal RNA". Lineage: Eukaryota; Fungi. The record is from RNAcentral.